Long non-coding RNA from Alligator sinensis (Chinese alligator), 2001 nucleotides. RefSeq lists it as uncharacterized. Lineage: Eukaryota; Metazoa; Chordata; Crocodylia; Alligatoridae. The record is from RefSeq and is a predicted model, not a curated record. The transcript is spliced from 2 exons.
GAAACUGUUCUUAUCUGAAAAACAAACAGAGGAGACCCAGUAAAAUUCACAAAUGGGGAUAGAAUACCAAAAUUUGUUUGAAUUUUGGAAGAAAGGGAUAGUUCUGGUUUUAUUUCAGGCCCUGAUCCUACCAUGGGCCCUUCUGCAGCACCAAUGACUUCCAAAGACUCCAUAGCUGCAAAGCAACUGCAGAAUCAGCACCAAAGAAUUUUAACUUUUUCCUUCCUUUCUCUGAGCAAACCUGACCUCACUGACAGAUUUCACUGUUACUUGUACUAUGCGCAAUGAGCAAAACACGUUUCCUGCUAAAUGACUUGUUCUUCUGAUUAAAAAAAGUAAUGGUGAAAGAGAAAACAUAUGGAAAUCUCCACAAGAGAGGGAGAUGUGCAUGGCUGUGUAACACCCUUGUUGGGCUGACUUCCAGCAUUCCCAAUAGCAGGCGGAAGGCAGUGUUCAGAAAACUGAAUCAUGACAGCUCUCUCACAUUUGUAAACCUACAUAUAUCUCUAAUUACCAACUACUCUUCAUUUAUUAAUGGACCUAUUUUCUCCUGAUCUGUCUAUAAAAGUUCUUAUUACUCUCAAAUCCUCCUAUUGGCAUUACCUCAUUACAGUUUUUGCUGUCCUGAUUUUUGUGUUGCAAGCCCUAAAUAACCAAGUAUUCUUGUUGCCUGCCUCCUACCUUUCCCAUUUAUUUAACCUCAAACUGGGGAGUAGAGCGUAUGUAUCAUGAUAUGCUUGUUCACUGGAAGCAACAAUGGGCUUCUGACCAGCUCACUUCCCAUCAGGGUCCUUGGUCCAACAAGCAAUUUUGCUGUGUCUGUUUUGAUUCAGUUCUCAUCUGCUUCUAUUGUUCCUCACAUUCUUGCAUUUCCACUAGAAUACGUGGUUAACAGAAAAUGCUGCUCCUUAAUUAGACCCUGAGUGGUGUACUGGAAAUUGCCAGUCAGCUUAAAGAUUUAUGUGCUAAACUGGGUUAUCGUAACUGACAAAACUCCUUCCAGAAAAUAAGUUUGGAAAUAUCAGAAUCCCCUCCCCUCCCCCACAAUGCCAAAUUAGAAAGAGCUAAGAUUUCUACUUUCUAUUAUGACUCAUGCUCAUGCUGAGCACACGGUUGAUGAGAUCAGCCCAAGGUUUGCUGGGUUCGGACUAUAGUAAAGAUGGAUUCUGCUAAAUGACAGAGCAGCCAAAACAAUAAAAAAGAGGAAGAAUGCAGAAACCACAAAGGACCCUAAACCACAGCAGGAAGGAAGAGGAGAUGGGGUCAUUCUUCUCAGAAGAUUAAGCAGAGACAGGUGGCAAGGGACGCUUUGCUCUUCCAUUCACCUAACCUUUCUGACCCUUAAAAAUAAGUUACUUUUUUCCAUGAAUGUUAAAAAACACCAAUUUUACUUAGUCCAGCAACAGGAGAUUCCACAGGGUUCAAUUUGUUUCUCAUUUCCAAAAAUGCACACUCAGGUAUAUUUGAAAUAAAGACUCUAAACCUCAAAAAUCCUGAUGGUGAAUACAGUCCUUUCUUAAGGGGAACUAGGGCCCCUGUCCAGGACGAUCUCCCUGUUUAGAACAGUCUUACAUACAAGUUCAGCUUUAAGCAUAUGCUCAAGUCCCACUGAAGUCAGUGCAACUGAAGUACACAUUUAAAUUUAAACAUGCUUAAGUGACUUCCUGAACCAGGGUCCACAUGAAUACUGCUCACAUCAGUGAAGACUUGCUGGACGUUACAUAGGAUUACAAAGUGACACUGUGCAUGAUAUCAGCUCUAUUUGGAGUCCACCAUAAGUGCUAGUCAUUAAAAUGGCCAUCCUGUCUUAUCCCCAUCACCCACAGCAUCAUCCACAAUAUCUGAUAAAGUAAGCCCACUGCUUGUGAAAACAUGUUAUGCAUCUCUGAUUUAAUUAGCCUGCAAGGUGCAAAUCUACCCUGCCUUCUGCCAUCCUAUCUUAACAACAAAAGGGCAAAGUUUCCUAAUGUGUAAUAUUUAAAUAAAAUGUUCAGUUGUAAA